UACGUAGGGUGCGAGCGUUAAUCGGAAUUACUGGGCGUAAAGCGUGCGCAGGCGGCUUAUUAAGUCAGAUGUGAAAGCCCCGGGCUUAACCUGGGAAUGGCGUUUGAAACUGAUAGGCUAGAGUGUGUCAGAGGGAGGUAGAAUUCCACGUGUAGCGGUGAAAUGCGUAGAGAUGUGGAGGAAUACCGAAGGCGAAGGCAGCCCCUUGGGAAUGUACUGACGCUCAUGUGCGAAAGCGUGGGGAGCAAACAGG
Molecule: ribosomal RNA, 253 nt
Filed under: uncultured bacterium
Lineage: Bacteria
Description: partial 16S ribosomal RNA
Rfam family: Bacterial small subunit ribosomal RNA
Source: RNAcentral